UACGGGGGGGGCAAGCGUUGUUCGGAAUUACUGGGCGUAAAGGGCGCGUAGGCGGUUUGCUAAGUUGGAUGUGAAAACUCUGGGCUUAACCCAGAGCCUGCAUCCAAAACUAGCAGGCUAGAGUUCUGGAGGGGAUAGCGGAAUUCCUGGUGUAGCGGUGAAAUGCGUAGAUAUCAGGAAGAACACCCGUGGCGAAGGCGGCUCUCUGGGACGGUACUGACGCUGAGACGCGAAAGCGUGGGGAGCGAACAGG
This 253-nucleotide ribosomal RNA is filed under the name uncultured bacterium. RNAcentral's name for it is "partial 16S ribosomal RNA". It matches the Rfam family "Bacterial small subunit ribosomal RNA", at positions 524 to 776 of the family's 1533-position model. The record is from RNAcentral.